Long non-coding RNA from Manis javanica (Malayan pangolin), 614 nucleotides. RefSeq lists it as uncharacterized. Lineage: Eukaryota; Metazoa; Chordata; Mammalia; Pholidota; Manidae. The record is from RefSeq and is a predicted model, not a curated record.
ACUACGUAUACUGGAUUCCUCUUUCAUGGUCCUAUGAAUACUAUAUUAUGUGCCAUUGAGCUUGCAGGAAAGAGAAUCCUAUUUUCUCUGGGUUGGGGACAGAUUUCCUAAGAAGGAUACGCACUGAGCCAUAACCAGAGGCAGGGACACACGUGAGCAAAACAGACAAGUGACUGCCCUGGAAGCCUACAUUUUAAACAGAAGAGUCAGAAAAUGAACAAAGGAUGGAAAAAAUGUGCAGUAUCUCUGCUAGUGAUAAGUUCUAUGAUAAGAAGUAAAGGUGUAAAGGGGGAAGGAGCCACCUGGGUUAAAGACUCCACGUGGCCUUUCCUGCAGCCAGAUCCCCAUCACAUUUCCCCAAGAACCCUCCGACACACUGGCGCUCCCUCUGCCCGGCCUUCUUUAUCUGGCUUCUCAGCGAUAUCUGCAUAGCUUCCAAUAUUCGGCUCAGUGGAUCUUGCCCCUUCUGCUGGAAGACCCUUUUCAGUUGUUGGCCAGGGUCACUCUUCUCUGGGGGUCCAGCAGCACUGAGAGCAUGCCGCAGCCCCAGGGCUUGGUUCCGUGACUUGUCCAUUCAUGCGUCUACUUCUUCAGCUGGACUCUGAGCAUCUAGA